RNAcentral lists this long non-coding RNA (2063 nucleotides) under Anser brachyrhynchus (Pink-footed goose). RNAcentral's name for it is "lncRNA (ENSABRG00000008992.1)". The record is from RNAcentral. Lineage: Eukaryota; Metazoa; Chordata; Aves; Anseriformes; Anatidae.
CUUUUCAAAGGUGCUGCUGACAGCUGUGGAAGAAGGCCUGUCUUUAUUCAGCAUGUGCCACAUUUCAUGUAGCCCUUUGCGCCAGAGCAGCCCCAGCAUAAACACGGUGGCAGCACUGUGCAGAGUCUCUGACCUGGGAUGGAAGGCUGCAGUACAGGACAUGCAGGGCAGUCAUGCAUUGGCUAUGUGAUAUGCGUUGGCUGUGCAAUGAUCUGUCCCAUCCUCGCCAUGCAGAGAAGGUAUAUUUAACUGUAGGGGUUACUGCAUCUGAUGGUCAGGAAGCAAAUCAGUUGUUACUGGCCCCUUUCAGAUGUUACUGGCCUCUACCUGCGCUAACUUUGGGGUGCAAAUAUCUUUUUGUUAGAAAUUAGACUGUGGGAACUACUUGCGUGUGAAUUGCAAGGCAUCCAAAAGCUUUCAAGCCACUGCUGACUUGGUUAGAUUGAAUUUUCUGUGACCGUGCUAGUCUUUCCCCAUUUUUCUUCUUCCAGACAUGAUUGAUGAGGCACGAUCUUGAUGAAUUCCAAGCCAUAAGAAAGGCAGAAGGCAGAAGUGAUACUGCGUGCUGAUGUUUGUUUGUUUGCUUCGUUUUCACGAAAGGAUAUAAAGUGUCUUGAAUCUACAAUAGUUUGGCAAUUGGUCCAGGUGCAUGUAUGUGAGCACUAAUGUUAUUUUCAGAGAGAACAGAAGUACCAUGUGAUUUUGGCUCAGGGUGGAAGACGAAAGGAGAGCCCCUUUGGACAUGAAACUCUGGCUGGCGGCUGCGUUUGGAUGCUGGAGGAGCUGCCACCAGCACGCCGGGCUGGCUGCCCCUGGCAUGGCUGGGAUUACUUUGCUGCUACAUGCCGUUGCUCAGCGCAAGAACAAGGCGCUUACAAGAAGGUGGCUUUGUGUGGCGAUGUGCAGGGCAAGCAGAAGUGCACAAAAAUGGUUGCCUGCCAGUCCGCUGCAGGAGGAAAAUAGCCUGGCAUUGUGUCACUGGAGUGCAGACAGGCAGGAGAGCCAGAAGAUUUGUCGUCAGGAACCCUCGCACGUACUCUGGGGCGGCAGCUCAAGUUUUUAAGUUACACGUACGUAUUGCACAACUUCUGAAGACAAGAAGUCCUCCAGAUGAUGCAAGCUGAGUGAGUGAUAUGUUCUGAGGAUGCCAGUGUAAAUUUACCCUUUUACACCUGAGGAGCUGACUGGUUUAAGCUGCCAUCUCAGAAGCUGUGUGAGUUAGCCCACACUGUGUGCUGUGCUGUUCUGUUUGCCCAGAGCCAGGCGAGGCUGUCUGAAUAAGGCUUGUGAAUCUCUACAGUGCCCUGCAUUCACGGCUGAGACUGCAGCAAGAGCCAUAUGCCUCAUUUUUAAAAUUGGCCUAGGUUCCAAAACACAAGGGUGCUUUGUAAAAUUUUUUGGCUUCCUGAUCUUCUUGAACUUUCUUCCUCAGACCUAGCUUCCCUCCUUCAUCCCCACCAUUGCACCCAAACAAAUACUCUGGUUAGACCUACGUGGGCAAGUGAGGGUGCCUGCCCCAAUGGCAGCUCUCAUGAGCAGAGCAGCCCUUCCACCUCCUCUGAAUGGUAUGACAGUCCCUGGCUAAUGCACAUGCACCAGAAUUGUGUUUCUCCUGUCAGAGGAAAAGAUGUCAAGCUUAUAACUGAAGGAAAAAGCUAUCUAAAGGAGAUAAGAGUAUAAGAGAUGUUACUGCAGUUCUAUAUUUGAAAUCAGUUACGUAUGUGUGUGGUAACCCAAAUGAUGGGCGGACUGCACUUUCCCAUUACCAUAAUUACAUUUCCUUUCAUAGCUAGGGUUGGGGACACAUCCAGACAUUACAGAACACAUCAGUAGAUUUAGUGUGGCUUACUCAGUCUCCAUUUAUCAGACUAUGUCCCAAUUAUGUCACAUUUAGGAAACAGAAUAAUUUUCUGGUUAUAGCACACAAAAUUUGUGGCAUACUAAUCCUAGUCAUCCUACUGUAUGACCUUGGAGAAGUUGUUUUACUUCUCUUUGAUGGUAAAAAAAAUUAACUUGCCUCUUGGAUGGAUUUUAGUCCCGUGCCAAGUUAAAAAAAAGUCUGA